UACAGAGGUCCCAAGCGUUGUUCGGAUUCAUUGGGCGUAAAGGGUGCGUAGGUGGCGCUGUAAGUCAGGUGUGAAAUUUCGGAGCUCAACUCCGAAACUGCACUUGAUACUGCGGUGCUUGAGGACUGGAGAGGAGACUGGAAUUUACGGUGUAGCAGUGAAAUGUGUAGAGAUCGGGAGGAACACCGGUGGCGAAGGCGGGUCUCUGGGCAUCUCCUGACGCUGAGGCGCGAAAGCGUGGGGAGCAAACGGG
RNAcentral lists this ribosomal RNA (253 nucleotides) under uncultured bacterium. RNAcentral describes it as "partial 16S ribosomal RNA". It matches the Rfam family "Bacterial small subunit ribosomal RNA", at positions 524 to 776 of the family's 1533-position model. The record is from RNAcentral.